RNAcentral lists this ribosomal RNA (1062 nucleotides) under Parastagonospora nodorum. RNAcentral's name for it is "SSU rRNA". It matches the Rfam family "Eukaryotic small subunit ribosomal RNA", at positions 50 to 1123 of the family's 1831-position model. The record is from RNAcentral. Lineage: Eukaryota; Fungi; Ascomycota; Dothideomycetes; Pleosporales; Phaeosphaeriaceae.
CAUGCAUGUCUAAGUAUAAGCAAUUAUACCGUGAAACUGCGAAUGGCUCAUUAAAUCAGUUAUCGUUUAUUUGAUAGUACCUUACUACUUGGAUAACCGUGGUAAUUCUAGAGCUAAUACAUGCUGAAAACCCCAACUUCGGGAGGGGUGUAUUUAUUAGAUAAAAAACCAACGCCCUUUGGGGCUUCUUGGUGAUUCAUGAUAACUUUACGGAUCGCAUGGCCUUGCGCCGGCGACGGUUCAUUCAAAUUUCUGCCCUAUCAACUUUCGAUGGUAAGGUAUUGGCUUACCAUGGUUUCAACGGGUAACGGGGAAUUAGGGUUCGAUUCCGGAGAGGGAGCCUGAGAAACGGCUACCACAUCCAAGGAAGGCAGCAGGCGCGCAAAUUACCCAAUCCCGACACGGGGAGGUAGUGACAAUAAAUACUGAUACAGGGCUCUUUUGGGUCUUGUAAUUGGAAUGAGUACAAUUUAAACCCCUUAACGAGGAACAAUUGGAGGGCAAGUCUGGUGCCAGCAGCCGCGGUAAUUCCAGCUCCAAUAGCGUAUAUUAAAGUUGUUGCAGUUAAAAAGCUCGUAGUUGAACCUUGGGUCUGGCUGGCAGGUCCGCCUCACCGCGUGUACUUGUCCGGCCGGGCCUUCCUUCUGGAGAACCUCAUGCCCUUCACUGGGCGUGUUGGGGACCAGGACUUUUACUUUGAAAAAAUUAGAGUGUUCAAAGCAGGCCUUUGCUCGAAUACGUUAGCAUGGAAUAAUAGAAUAGGACGUGCGGUCCUAUUUUGUUGGUUUCUAGGACCGCCGUAAUGAUUAAUAGGGACAGUCGGGGGCAUCAGUAUUCAAUUGUCAGAGGUGAAAUUCUUGGAUUUAUUGAAGACUAACUACUGCGAAAGCAUUUGCCAAGGAUGUUUUCAUUAAUCAGUGAACGAAAGUUAGGGGAUCCAAGACGAUCAGAUACCGUCGUAGUCUUAACCGUAAACUAUGCCGACUAGGGAUCGGGCGAUGUUCUUUUUCUGACUCGCUCGGCACCUUACGAGAAAUCAAAGUUUUUGGGUUCUGGGGGGAG